AGACAAGAGUAGACAAGAAUAUUAUUAUAAUUUUAAGCUCUCAAAAAGCAUUUACAAAGUAUGUCGGGGUCCUACCGUCGUCAUGUGGUCAGUUUUUAUGCUGAGAAGAAUCAGUGUAAAGCUCAAAGAACGAGCUAUACGAGUGUUAAGCCUCUCGACAUUGAAAACGUAAAUGUGCAGAGAUGGUGCAGUAUUUGUGUGGAAUCUGUCUCCUAGGAUAUCUCAGGGUCUGCCUGUUCAUAUCAAUGUAAGUACCUACCUACAGUCUAUUUUAUUUCGUUGUGCUUUCCAACCAAAAAUAUGACAAAGUUUUCGUCCUUAUAGAUAAGUUAAAUAUAGAAAGAUCUAUUCAUUUAUUAUUGUUUCUAAGAUUAUUUUGUCUAUUAUGUAGGUAUUGCCCUUCAUUGCAAGAAAAUAAUUAAACAGAAGAAAAAUAUUUAACAAAGCUUAAUUGUUGCAGGUUCUUUGUUCGGGUCCUGCUUAGGUCAUUAACAACAUUACUAACCACUGUUAGCAAAUUUUUUAAGCAAUUUGUUUUUGCAGUGAAUACAAGGGUGCCUAUACUACAACUCUUCCCGAAGAAAGGCAGAAAGAGAGACACACUAAUGACCUUAGCGGUAGCUUACUACAAGCUGCAACUCACAGAAGAGCAACUAUUAUGAAUAUCUUUGUAUAUCAACAGUUCUUCAAACCAUACAGACAGAAUUGAGUUGCUGGGGAGUUUGUUCCACCGCUUCUGCUGCUGAUUUUCAGCCUAUUUUGAAUAAAUGACUUUAUCUGUA
Long non-coding RNA from Helicoverpa zea (corn earworm), 782 nucleotides. RefSeq lists it as uncharacterized. Lineage: Eukaryota; Metazoa; Arthropoda; Insecta; Lepidoptera; Noctuidae. The record is from RefSeq and is a predicted model, not a curated record. The transcript has 2 exons.